Molecule: ribosomal RNA, 377 nt
Filed under: uncultured bacterium
Lineage: Bacteria
Description: bacterial SSU rRNA
Rfam family: Bacterial small subunit ribosomal RNA
Source: RNAcentral
UAUUGGACAAUGGGGGAAACCCUGAUCCAGCAAUGCCGCGUGAAUGAUGAAGGCCUUAGGGUUGUAAAGUUCUUUCACCUGUGAAGAUAAUGACGGUAGCAGGAGAAGAAGCCCCGGCUAACUCCGUGCCAGCAGCCGCGGUAAGACGGAGGGGGCUAGCGUUGUUCGGAAUGACUGGGCGUAAAGGGCGCGUAGGCGGUUUUUUAAGUGAGGCGUGAAAGCCCUGGGCUUAACCCAGGAGGUGCGUUUCAUACUGGAAGACUUGAGUACGAGAGAGGAAAGCGGAAUUCCUAGUGUAGAGGUGAAAUUCGUAGAUAUUAGGAAGAACACCAGUGGCGAAGGCGGCUUUCUGGCUCGUAACUGACGCUGAGCGCGAA